UGCUAGUUGCACGGGUUUAGACCCGUAGCAGAAAGCUCAGUAACACGUGGCCAAACUGCCCUAUGGACAAGAACAACCUCGGGAAACUGAGGCUAAUUCUUGAUAUAGCUCUCAUGCUGGAGUGCAGAGAGCUAGAAACGUUCCGGCGCCAUAGGAUGUGGCUGCGGCCGAUUAGGUAGACGGUGAGGUAACGGCCCACCGUGCCGAUAAUCGGUACAGGUUGUGAGAGCAAGAGCCUGGAGACGGUAUCUGAGACAAGAUACCGGGCCCUACGGGGCGCAGCAGGCGCGAAACCUUUACACUGCACGCCAGUGCGAUAGGGGGACUCCGAGUGCGAGGGCAUAUAGCCCUCGCUUUUCCACACCCUAAGGCGGUGUGGGAAUAAGAACUGGGCAAGACCGGUGCCAGCCGCCGCGGUAAUACCGGCAGUUCGAGUGAUGGCCGAUAUUAUUGGGCCUAAAGCGUUCGUAGCUGGCCAGUCAAGUUCGUCGGGAAACCUACCCGCUUAACGGGUAGCCGUCCGGCGAAAACUGAUUGGCUUGGGACCGGGAGACUUGAGGGGUACGUCCGGGGUAGGAGUGAAAUCCUGUAAUCCUGGACGGACCACCGAUGGCGAAAGCACCUCAAGAGCACGGAUCCGACAGUGAGGAACGAAAGCUGGGGUCUCGAACCGGAUUAGAUACCCGGGUAGUCCCAGCUGUAAACGAUGCUCGUUAGGUAUGGCACAGGCUACG
This 734-nucleotide ribosomal RNA is filed under the name uncultured archaeon. Its description in RNAcentral is "bacterial SSU rRNA". It matches the Rfam family "Archaeal small subunit ribosomal RNA", at positions 52 to 787 of the family's 1478-position model. The record is from RNAcentral.